This 205-nucleotide ribosomal RNA is filed under the name Anaerobacillus alkaliphilus. RNAcentral describes it as "Bacterial large subunit ribosomal RNA". It matches the Rfam family "Bacterial large subunit ribosomal RNA", at positions 205 to 403 of the family's 2925-position model. Lineage: Bacteria; Bacillati; Bacillota; Bacilli; Caryophanales; Bacillaceae. The record is from Rfam by way of RNAcentral.
AGUACCCAGAGGAAGAGAAAGAAAUUAUCGAUUUCCUGAGUAGCGGCGAGCGAAACGGAAACAGCCCAAACCAAGGGGCUUGCCCCUUGGGGUUGUAGGACACUCUAUACGGAGUUACAAAGAAACGAAGUAGAUGAAGCGACCUGGAAAGGUCCGCGAAACAAGGUAACAGCCCUGUAAUCGAAACUUCGUUUCCUCCAGAGUG